This 119-nucleotide ribosomal RNA is filed under the name Pteropus alecto (black flying fox). Lineage: Eukaryota; Metazoa; Chordata; Mammalia; Chiroptera; Pteropodidae. The record is from RNAcentral.
GUCUACAGCCAUGCCACCCUGAACGUGCCCGAUCUCGUCUAAUCUUGGGAGCUAAGCAUGGUCAGGCCUGGUUAGUACUUGGAUGGGAGACCACCUAAGAAUACUAGGUGCUGCAGUCG